UAGGGAAUCUUCGGCAAUGGGGGGAACCCUGACCGAGCAACGCCGCGUGAGUGAAGAAGGUUUUCGGAUCGUAAAGCUCUGUUGUUAAGGAAGAACGAGUGUGAGAAUGGAAAGUUCAUACUGUGACGGUACUUAACCAGAAAGGGACGGCUAACUACGUGCCAGCAGCCGCGGUAAUACGUAGGUCCCGAGCGUUGUCCGGAUUUAUUGGGCGUAAAGCGAGCGCAGGCGGUUAGAUAAGUCUGAAGUUAAAGGCAGUGGCUCAACCAUUGUAGGCUUUGGAAACUGUUUAACUUGAGUGCAGAAGGGGAGGGUGGAAUUCCGUGUGUAGCGGUGAAAUGCGUAGAUAUAUGGAGGAACACCGGUAGCGAAAGCGUCUCUCUGGUCUGUAACUGACGCUGAGGCUCGAAAGCGUGGGGAGCGAACAGA
RNAcentral lists this ribosomal RNA (429 nucleotides) under Bacteroidota bacterium. Its description in RNAcentral is "Bacteroidetes bacterium partial 16S ribosomal RNA". It matches the Rfam family "Bacterial small subunit ribosomal RNA", at positions 355 to 776 of the family's 1533-position model. Lineage: Bacteria; Pseudomonadati; Bacteroidota. The record is from RNAcentral.